GAGGUUGUAGCUCAAUGGUGGAGCACUUGCUUCGCAUGUGUGAGGUGCUGGGUUCAAUCCUCAGCACCACA
This 71-nucleotide transfer RNA is filed under the name Marmota monax (woodchuck). RNAcentral describes it as "tRNA.Ala". The record is from RNAcentral. Lineage: Eukaryota; Metazoa; Chordata; Mammalia; Rodentia; Sciuridae.